This is a long non-coding RNA of Thalassophryne amazonica, 470 nucleotides long. RefSeq lists it as uncharacterized. NCBI's taxonomy places the organism in Eukaryota, Metazoa, Chordata, Actinopteri, Batrachoidiformes, Batrachoididae. The transcript is spliced from 3 exons. The record is from RefSeq and is a predicted model, not a curated record.
AAAUAAACCAAAAAAAAAAAACAAUCUACACGCUGUAAAUACAAGCACAUUAUCCAAAUAAUGAAGACUUCACACAGUAGCAUUUGACAACCACAUUCCUAUGAUACCGACAAGCCUCACACCUGUGCUUUUUUUCCUGAACUGCUGUUUAUCUAACGUACAGUAUGUGGACUUCAUCAAUGUGUCACCAUGAAUCUGAUUUUUAUUUUUACCUUUUUUUUAAAUCCCCUUAAAGUGAUGUGUGUAUUGUAGUUGUUAAAUGUGACAAAAAAAAUUCACGACACUUUAAUGCAUCACUUAAUGAACUGUGACGGGAUUGAUUGAGGUGUUUACUGAGUGUUGUAAAAGACGAGGAUGGCACUGCUCAUUGUUAAGAACUUUUAAAGAGGUCAUGUUGUGCACUUCUUUUACUUAGAUAAUACGGUACACCAGGGGACUCACGAAGACGUGUGUACACAGUGUGUGUACGC